UUCAACCGCUGAGUCCUAGAGGGAGCAAAAGCCAUCAUCCCGAGGAAACGCUUCAUGCAUUUUCCUAGCGAGAAAAACCCUGGGGCUGAAAUCCCGAGCGGAGCCCCGGACCCGGUCCUCGCGGCUCGGAAAAGGGAAGGAUUUGGCCGCCUCCCGCAGCGCCGACCCAGCCGAGCACAGCCUCCCCCUCCUUCUCGGUCUCCCCGCCGCCCCGCGAGGCAGCAUCCCAGCGGCACCCACUUGAGAAGGCUCGGCGGCUGGCGCCCAGCUACCAGCCCUGCAACAUUGUCACGGCCGCGGGGCCGGCCUGCGACGCGGAGAGGAGGCGGCGCUGCAGCGAGAGCCGGGGCAGCUUUCGGCGCCCGCCCGCCCGCCAGCUGAUCCCCCGGAGCGCCCGGCGGAGACUGACCCGCCGCCCCUCCCCCGCGCGCGCUCCCGCUCGGCUCCAUCCACCCAACCAGGAAGUGAACCGUCGCCGGAAGUGCCGCUCGGGACAGCAAGGUGAGGAGCCGAGGCCCUCCUGUUGCUGCCGCCGGGUCGCGACAGACGAGAAGGAGUCGUGGAAGAGAAGGGGACCCGGGAGAGGGGUGUCUCGGUGUGGAGAGAGUUUUGGAAAAGAACUUUUAUCGCCCGGCCCGCAGGGCACCAUGGGAAACGUAGUUCGGCACAAGCCACCCGCUGCACUACAACUCCCAGGAUGCCCCUGAAGGAGCGAGCGAGGAGGCUGCGGUGGCCUCCUCGGCCUCGAAGGUAGUUAGUGGGGUGGUGCAUUUGUGGGGAUUCGGUUAUUUAAACAUAUCCGGUAAAGAAACCGCCAAGGACUAGGAAACUGCUGCAUGUUCCACCCUUUUGGAGCCAUCUUAUUUGCGAUUUCACCUCCCUGCACAAGGGAUUCUGGGGAUUGUUGUUUCCAAAUGGAUCGAGCCUGACACCUGAAGGACGCGGCUUAACCGCUUAGCCUCUGGCGAGUCCUGCGGGGCUUACCGACGUCACCUGGGCAGAAGGUGGAAGACAAGGGGUGACCCGGAGGAUUUUUCUGGCAGUUGGUACAAGGCCACAAUUGAACGCUAACUCUGAGUAAAACCUGUGCCCUUCCGCCCCCAACCUCAAAAGCCGUUUUUGCUCCCAAAUGUUGAGAAUCGCUCGGUAGUCACCUCUGAGCUAGGCGCAGCGAGAACGCUUAAUAAGACUGGGCUGAGAAUCUACAGGCAAGUCUCAAACCAAGAAACUUAAAGGGUGUGUGCAGAGGAGAUCCUAGGGUACCAGCAGAUCCAAGCCAUUGGCCGUGACCCCAAACUGAGGCUGGCUCGUCUGCCGACAGUGACCCUUGAUUCUUCCACGUUUGCUGAUGAUGUGGGUGGGCCUGACCCUCACAAAUCCCCUCACACAAGAACCCAAGACUGAUCUUCUGUUAUUUCUUUUUCAAAACUCAAGAUUCCCUCCUUCCUCCUUCCUUGAUGUUUAUUUUACCCUGAUAUCGCCUGAGUGCCAAAGUCCACUUGGAGGACAAUGUGGUUUUCAUCAGCCAAAUGCAGAAGAUUUGGAAGGCCAGUUAGUACCCUUCUACAUCCCUAGAUUUCCUGAUCGACGAUGCUGAAGAAGUAUAAGAAACAAAGAAAAUAUAGACAAGUAAAAUCAACAUAAGGAAUUGUGAUAAUUUCUCCUACCUAUAGUGACAAUUUCUCUUGAUAUAUAUUCUUCCAGAUCUCUCCUUUUCCAUCUCUAAUAAAAGUUAUAUGUUCAUUGUCAA
Suricata suricatta (meerkat) is the source of this 1750-nucleotide long non-coding RNA. RefSeq lists it as uncharacterized. The record is from RefSeq and is a predicted model, not a curated record. The transcript has 2 exons. Lineage: Eukaryota; Metazoa; Chordata; Mammalia; Carnivora; Herpestidae.